CUACGGGAGGCAGCAGUGGGGAAUUUUGGACAAUGGGCGCAAGCCUGAUCCAGCCAUUCCGCGUGCAGGAUGAAGGCCUUCGGGUUGUAAACUGCUUUUGUACGGAACGAAAAGGUUCUCUCUAAUACAGGGGGCUGAUGACGGUACCGUAAGAAUAAGCACCGGCUAACUACGUGCCAGCAGCCGCGGUAAUACGUAGGGUGCAAGCGUUAAUCGGAAUUACUGGGCGUAAAGCGUGCGCAGGCGGUGAUGUAAGACAGAUGUGAAAUCCCCGGGCUCAACCUGGGAACUGCAUUUGUGACUGCAUUGCUGGAGUGCGGCAGAGGGGGAUGGAAUUCCGCGUGUAGCAGUGAAAUGCGUAGAUAUGCGGAGGAACACCGAUGGCGAAGGCAAUCCCCUGGGCCUGCACUGACGCUCAUGCACGAAAGCGUGGGGAGCAAACAGGAUUAGAUACCCUGGUAGUCCACGCCCUAAAGCGAUGUCAACUGGUUGU
RNAcentral lists this ribosomal RNA (493 nucleotides) under uncultured bacterium. RNAcentral's name for it is "bacterial SSU rRNA". It matches the Rfam family "Bacterial small subunit ribosomal RNA", at positions 339 to 823 of the family's 1533-position model. The record is from RNAcentral.